UUGACUGAAACCAAAGAGAGGUAUAUUACUGUUAAUAAUACAAUUGAAUCAUAUUCCAGUUAAA
RNAcentral lists this transfer RNA (64 nucleotides) under Anaplecta sp. 1 ZQW-2020. RNAcentral describes it as "tRNA-Asn". The record is from RNAcentral. Lineage: Eukaryota; Metazoa; Arthropoda; Insecta; Blattodea; Anaplectidae.